GAGCGUUGUGAUGCCUGAGGUGAAACUAAGUGCUUGCAGUCAUCUAGGAGGCAUAUUGUCUUCUGAUGCAACUCUCUCUAAUAUGUCUAUCCUGAAAGUUGUCAUGCAACACUGAUUGCUUUUGGGGAUUACUAUCUGUCAUAAAUCUGACCAUGUUUGCCCUGAAAGAGCUGAAGAACUUUUUUUUUGUGUGUGUGUGUAUCCUAUUAAGAAGUAUAAAAUGUCUUUAUGCUUUUCCUGCCCUUUAAUAAAGUUUACUGAACUUUCAUGUA
Molecule: long non-coding RNA, 272 nt
Organism: Columba livia (rock pigeon)
Lineage: Eukaryota; Metazoa; Chordata; Aves; Columbiformes; Columbidae
Exons: 3
Source: RefSeq, a predicted model, not a curated record